UACGAAGGGUGCAAACGUUGCUCGGAAUCAUUGGGCGUAAAGAGCGUGUAGGCGGUCCGGUAAGUCCGCUGUGAAAGUCGGGGGCUCAACCCUCGAAUGCCGGUGGAUACUGUCGGGCUAGAGUGCGGAAGAGGCGAGUGGAAUUCCUGGUGUAGCGGUGAAAUGCGCAGAUAUCAGGAGGAACACCUAUUGCGAAGGCAGCUCGCUGGGACGUUACUGACGCUGAGACGCGAAAGCGUGGGGAGCAAACAGG
Molecule: ribosomal RNA, 253 nt
Filed under: uncultured bacterium
Lineage: Bacteria
Description: partial 16S ribosomal RNA
Rfam family: Bacterial small subunit ribosomal RNA
Source: RNAcentral